CAAUCGGAAGAGACAAGUCCGCAGUAGGAGCAGGGUCAGGUGCAUGAAGUGAAUCAGCCGGGUCGGAUGCUGGGCAAGGACGACGAUGAUAUGUCAAGAGUGGAGUGUCUUCUGCAGGGAGUCUAGGAGGAGCCCCGGUAGAUGGUCCAAUGUUUGGAAUGGGUAAGACUUCUGUAGCGGAAGGUGAAGGAGGAGAUAUA
Molecule: long non-coding RNA, 200 nt
Filed under: Nicotiana benthamiana
Lineage: Eukaryota; Viridiplantae; Streptophyta; Magnoliopsida; Solanales; Solanaceae
Description: long non-coding RNA (NBEN_LNC000003)
Source: RNAcentral